UGUUGGAUGAUUUUGGCACUCAUUGGAACUACUAUGUUGCCAUGGAAACUACACCAAAAAUUUCAAAAAUAUCAAAAUGCUCCAAACUUCAAUGAAACUUCACAGUAACGAUGAGCAACAUUGGAAGAUGUGGAAUUUGGCGUUGGAAUUUCCAAAAUAUCUGUUGUUACCAUGGAAACAAUGCAAAAAGGUCAAAACUUUGAAUUUUCACAGAACAUUCCAGAACAUCAAUGUUAAAUUUAUUCUAGAGACAUGAAACUUUAUGAAAAUGUUCUCCAGUAUGCCAAGAUGUCAAGACAAUAUUUUGGAUAGUUCAAAAUGGCCGCCGUUGUCAUGGAAACUAGGGCCAAGUUUUGCAUUGACCCUAUGGAAAAAUGCAUAAAAUCUGCAUUUUCUCAGAGAGUAGUGCACCAAAGUUAAUGAAACUGUAUUGAUAUAUAACAUGACAUGUGGCAAUGAGAUGUCUGCUUUUAGAAUUUUGGAAUUAUCUACUGUAACCAUGGUUGCAGCACAAAUGUUCAAAAUUUCCAAAAAAAAUUAUGUGCUGCAAACUGGAUGAAACUUUACAGGAAUAGUGACUGUCAUGUGCGGAGUUGCAUUUUGAAGUUGGAAUUUCCAAAAUGGCCGCCGUAACCAUGGAAACAGCAAAAUUGUCCAAAAUUUCAAAAUGCUCCAAACUUAAUGAAAUUUUGCAAAAAUGAUAACCUGCAGGUGUAGACGCACUCUUUGACUUUGGAAUUUCCAAAAUGGCUGUCGCUCGCCUGGCAAUGGGGGUACGAGGGUGCCAUCCGUUAUUGCUAGCAAUUACAAAUCUAGUUAUUAUUCUUAUUCUUCCAAUGAUUUUUGUCCGGCAGAUUUUUUGAAGGCAAUGGAACCAAUCUUAGUGAUAGUCAACUAUAAUGAGGAACACAAAAUUUCGGGUUGCAGUAGGUCAUAGGACCAUUAAAAAUGGCUGCCGUUACCAUGGAAACGGAAAAAUUGUGAAAAAUUCCACUUUUUGGUUUUGGGAAUUAUUUUGGAGAUGCUUUAACUUAGAAUCAUUAUAUUUUGAUACAAUGUAGGUGCCCACUAUAUACUUGUUUUGGAUGAUUUUUGGCAUUCAUUGGAACUACUAUGUUGCCAUGGAUACUACACCAAAAAUUUCCAAAAUAUCAAAAUGCUCCAAAUUUAAUGAAACUUCACAGUAACGAUGAGCAACAUUGGUAGAUGUGCAAUUUGGCGUUGGAAUUUCGAAAAUGUCUUGUGUUACCAUGGAAACAAA
Molecule: long non-coding RNA, 1261 nt
Filed under: Mytilus galloprovincialis (Mediterranean mussel)
Lineage: Eukaryota; Metazoa; Mollusca; Bivalvia; Mytilida; Mytilidae
Source: RNAcentral